Drosophila grimshawi is the source of this 152-nucleotide small nucleolar RNA. It matches the Rfam family "Drosophila small cajal body-specific RNA PsiU6-40". The record is from Rfam. Lineage: Eukaryota; Metazoa; Arthropoda; Insecta; Diptera; Drosophilidae.
UUCGGAUGUACUUUCCAACAAAUUAAACGGUUUAACGGCUGAGAGCAAUUCCCGUUGAACGUUUUCCAAAGCGCAUCCCAGAUUAAAUGACUGGAACUCUGUGCGUGCGCAUGGAAGUCUCUGAGCACGCAUCGUUCUUCCAGUCACAAUUC